CAAGAGGGCGCCGUCACUGACUGCUCAGCACCACACACACACACAAUGACAGACACACAGACAGAAAAACACACACAGAAACACACACACACUGAUGUGCUUCUGCUUCCUUCAUGUGUUAUAAGUCCAUGAACACAUGAACCUCUGAGCAGGAUGAUGAGGUUGGUGAUGAAUCUCUGAUGUGAGUCUGCAGCUUCCAAACAUUCAUCCUUUCACAAACAUCCCAAAAAUCAAAUCUGCUUUCUUAAUGUCAGAUGAGACCAGAACCAGAAUCCAGAACCAAGCCGGGUUCUGAGUCUGGCUCCAUUAGUUUUCCUGUAAGCCUGUUUGCUGCUAUUGUUUCCUUUCAGGUUGAAAUUAGUAUUUAGAACAUAGAAUAAAAUCUUGUUAGUUUUCAAACUUGAGCAGCUGAGGCUGAUUAAUGAUCAGACCCCCGUUGAAUAUAUCAGCUGUUCUAAUCUUGACUCAAAGUUUUUCUGACUGCAGAGCAGCAACAGGAAACAGAACGGCGCUGAUGGACGGCUGCUUCCUGUCUGAGGAUCAGAAACGCGUCAGAGAUUUUUACAGUCAGAUUAUUUUCUUCUCUGCAGCUCCAGGAUCUGGAAACGUCUUUAAACCGGAGACACAGAACGAGCCGGCAAGCCGCCUCAGCAGGACGACAGUCAGCUCUUCAUCGGGUUUUAUAACCGAUGACCUCACUACCUCCUGUUGCUAGGAUACAGACAUUUCCCUCUUCCUCCUCCUCUUCCUCUAACGAUGCAGCAGGACGAGGAAGAGCUGCUGACCGACUGUUUACCUUUCUGCAGUUUUGGCUUCAUUGCUGACCUGAAUAUGACCUUUCACUAAAAAUUCCAGUGAUGUCAGGCCUUCACUGCCUCAUUAUGAAAUAUUCAACAUGAAACCGCCACCGAGCGCCAGGUGAGACGAUUCCACAUGCAGGCUGAACGAAAGCCAAUCAGGUCAGGGGGUGGAUCCCAGAGCAGCCAAUCAGGUCAGGGGGCGGAUCCCAGAGCACCUGCUAACCAAUCAAUAAUCAAUCUGGUCUGGCUGAAGACCUCAGUUUACCGUGAUCUGAUUGGCUGCUGCUGGAGUCAGCCUUGGUGAACUUUAAACAGAAACAAGAGGGAAGCGGAGGGGGAGGAGGAGUGGAUGGUUGGAUGGAUGGUUGGAUGGAUGGUUGGAUGGAUGGUUGGAUGGACGGUUGGAUGCUAGCGUAGCA
Molecule: long non-coding RNA, 1219 nt
Organism: Xiphophorus maculatus (southern platyfish)
Lineage: Eukaryota; Metazoa; Chordata; Actinopteri; Cyprinodontiformes; Poeciliidae
Exons: 3
Source: RefSeq, a predicted model, not a curated record